GUACAACUGCGACGAGUGUGAAGUAGCCCUGACUUUGAAAGAACUGGAGUACCGCCAUAUCAGCGUGCAUUUCUUCGAGCCGGAAUAUGAGAGGUAUCACUUUCUGACAAUGCCAGCUUUCAAGUCAUAGAAGGAAAAGGUGGAGAAAGACACUCGCAGUCACUUCAUUGCAAGGACAGGUACAGAGACUUGUGGCCACCUGAAAAAGAAGCAUUUCUACUUCGUCUGUCACCGGUCUGGAAGUUAUGCUUCACAAGCUACAAGUAAACAAAAGCUGAAGCGGCCUUCAAGUGUCAAGUGUGGAAAAAGAUGUUUUGCGAC
Molecule: non-coding RNA, 321 nt
Organism: Dermacentor andersoni
Lineage: Eukaryota; Metazoa; Arthropoda; Arachnida; Ixodida; Ixodidae
Source: RefSeq, a predicted model, not a curated record